RNAcentral lists this ribosomal RNA (492 nucleotides) under uncultured bacterium. RNAcentral describes it as "partial 16S ribosomal RNA". It matches the Rfam family "Bacterial small subunit ribosomal RNA", at positions 29 to 507 of the family's 1533-position model. The record is from RNAcentral.
AGUGAACGCUGGCGGUAGGCCUAACACAUGCAAGUCGAACGGCAGCACAGUAAGAGCUUGCUCUUACGGGUGGCGAGUGGCGGACGGGUGAGGAAUACAUCGGAAUCUACUUUUUCGUGGGGGAUAACGUAGGGAAACUUACGCUAAUACCGCAUACGACCUACGGUUGAAAGCAGGGGAUCUUUGGACCUUGCGCGAUUGAAUGAGCCGAUGUCGGAUUAGCUAGUUGGCGGGGUAAAGGCCCACCAAGGCGACGAUCCGUAGCUGGUCUGAGAGGAUGAUCAGCCACACUGGAACUGAGACACGGUCCAGACUCCUACGGGAGGCAGCAGUGGGGAGUAUUGGACAAUGGGCGCAAGCCUGAUCCAGCCAUACCGCGUGGGUGAAGAAGGCCUUCGGGUUGUAAAGCCCUUUUGUUGGGAAAGAAAAGCAGCAGGUUAAUACCCCGCUGUUCUGACGGUACCCAAAGAAUAAGCACCGGCUAACUUCGUG